Molecule: non-coding RNA, 684 nt
Organism: Cavia porcellus (domestic guinea pig)
Lineage: Eukaryota; Metazoa; Chordata; Mammalia; Rodentia; Caviidae
Source: the annotation of a RefSeq genome assembly
UAUCUGAACGCUAGCAGACACUCAGAGACCCUGAACCCUGAGACUGGACAGAGGAAACCUGUGCAGGGGACACGGCCACAUGCUGCUCUCCAGCCUGCUGUGGGCGUCCGCCAUCUCCAUCUUUUCUGGACUCACUGUGGCCCAGAAAGUAACCCAAGACCAGACACCCGUGACCAAGCGAGAAGGGGAAAUAGUCAUCCUGGACUGUUCCUAUGAGACAAGCUGGAGCUCGUACUAUAUUUUUUGGUACCAGCAACGCUUGAGCGGAGAGAUGAUUUUCCUUAUUCGUCAGAGUUCUUCAGGUUCCGGUGGAAGGAGCGGUCGCUAUUCUAUCAGAAAAGCAACUAACUCCAUGAAUCUUGUCAUCUCAGCCUUAGAGAUGGGAGACACUGGAACAUUUUUCUGUGCUAUUUGGGCUUUGGGAACUCACAGUGUUUGAAAUGAUAGUAAAGGCCGAACAAAAACUCAGGAGUUCUCUGAGAGACAGGCCCUGCUGCAGGAGCCCAGCUGAGACUCACAGCCCAGCUGCAGAUCCCACAGGGAAGGGAGCACGGCGGUUGUUCCAUCUGUGGUCUGGAUCAGAAGAUUAAGUUCUAAGUAAAACCCUUCUGUCUUAUUUGAAAUCAGGUGUCAGUUGUAUGAUGUCUUUUGCAGUAUAUUUUGUCUAGCAUUUUGAUUCCAGAA